RNAcentral lists this ribosomal RNA (253 nucleotides) under uncultured bacterium. RNAcentral's name for it is "partial 16S ribosomal RNA". It matches the Rfam family "Bacterial small subunit ribosomal RNA", at positions 524 to 776 of the family's 1533-position model. The record is from RNAcentral.
AAGGGGGGAUGCAAGCGUUAUCCGGAAUCACUGGGCGUAAAGCGUCUGUAGGUGGUGAUGCAAGUCACUGGUGCAAAACUCUGGCUCAACCGGAGGAAAGCCAGUGAAACUGCAUGACUAGAGUGUGGGAGAGGUGGAAGGAAUUCCCUGAGUAGCGGUGAAAUGCGUAGAUACAGGGAAGAACACCGGAGGCGAAAGCGUUCUACUGGAACACAGCUGACGCUGAGAGACGAAAGCUAGGGGAGCGAAUGGG